GCCUACGGGACGCAGCAGUGAGGAAUAUUGGUCAAUGGGCGGGAGCCUGAACCAGCCAAGUCGCGUGAGGGAAGAAGGUACUGAGUAUUGUAAACCUCUUUUGCCAGGGGACAAAGGCGGCCACGGGUGGCCGUAAGAGGGUACCUGGAGAAAAAGCAUCGGCUAACUCCGUGCCAGCAGCCGCGGUAAUACGGAGGAUCCGAGCGUUAUCCGGAAUGAUUGGGCGUAAAGGGUGCGCAGGCGGUCCUGCAAGUCUGGAGUGAAACGCAUGAGCUCAACUCAUGCAUGGCUUUGGAAACUGGAGG
RNAcentral lists this ribosomal RNA (305 nucleotides) under uncultured bacterium. Its description in RNAcentral is "bacterial SSU rRNA". It matches the Rfam family "Bacterial small subunit ribosomal RNA", at positions 337 to 639 of the family's 1533-position model. The record is from RNAcentral.